CGCUGAAGAUUUGACUAUCGCAUAAAACACUUGCGAAUACAGCAGCGUUUCCAUCCCAAGGGUCGUCACUUCAUGGGAAACUGGCGUAGAGUAUCAAUAAUAAAAAUUAAAGUUAAUGGAACCUGGCUAUAUCACACAAAGCAUAAUAUCCAGGACCUUGGUUGGUUUACAGCAAGUUACUUCUUCCAGGUUUUUUUGCCAGACAAAGAGAGACGAGCUGUGUCUGAAAUAACACACUGCCAGAGUAGGCACUACGUGUGACAAAGAAUGAACUUCGUGACCAUUCAAAGUGUCAUCUGGGUACUUUUUGUCUACUGUUUUUUGAAUAAUAUGUGUUCAGAUAUACUACUCUUCUGGAGUACUGUUUGUAACAUACUGUGUAGUAGAAAAGUGGACAUACUCAGAUGCAGUGAGUGGAACAGGAUGUGAACACAACAAAAACCCAGGUCCCCUCAACAGCACAAUGUAUCUAAUGACAAUUGUCAAUUUCAUUGCAUUAAAAUGUCAGAAUGGCCCUACAGAAGCAUCACUUCCCAAAUAGUGGUAAUCAUUGACUUGUUUAGUCACUACAUUUACCUAGCAGAGCUUUGGUUUAUGAUUAUUGGACACUUGGACACCAAAUAAUCUUGGUCACGAUGACAUAUUGUGUAUUUUUCCAUUCAUCAAUCUAAAUAAUCUAUAAAAACUAAGCGGUAGACUGUCUUUAGAGAUGUGAAUUGCUCUUUGGUGACGGUCAUCAUUAUAGCCAGUUUUUGAACUUGUUUACUGAUAGCUUUUCAUAGCCAAACCUUAAAUGAAAAGGUAUAGUUUUAAAGCAGAGAAAGCCUUUGAAUACAUUUUCAUCACCAGCUAAAACUUUGGUGAUUUGCAUGAUGAUUUUUUUAUUGCAACUUUAAUAAUACCAAAUAGUGAAUGCUCCAAUGUUCUAAAAUAUUAAACAUCUUAAUAUAAACUAAAAUAUUUGAUAUAAAAUGAACAUUUUGAGUAGAAUUUAAUGUCAAAAUGACAUUUCAGAUUUUAGUAGUUCUGUAUAGGUUCUGCAUUUUCUUCCAUUUUUGGAAACAAGUUUUUGUUCAACUGUUGAUGAAUUAGCAUUACAAAUAAAGUGACCAUGUCAUUGACAUUUACAAAAUCACCCUGUUAUCAACAAGCUCAAGGCUGGGUGUGCCUUAUACGCAUAUUUUCCUCUUUUGCAAUAUGAAUUAUUUUUGCAAUGAAGAUUACUGUCAGUAUUACCACAAUGAGAUAAAAAUUUAUUCUAGUACAAGUAGUAAGUAUACUGAAUAGUUUUUAAAAUCAUAUUUUUUAUGCCCGAACUUUGUGGCUUAUACAUGUCAUAUGCUGGGGGUCUUCUUAUUUGAAUUAAAAAUUUUUAGCAACAGUAGUGAGAAAUGAAACAGCUUUAACUGUUUUAUAAAUGUAUAAACAUGUGCUGGCAGUGAUGGCAAUGUAAUUGCCAGCUGAAUUACUUUAUCUUGGUGGCAUAUUUUAAACAGCAGAAUAAAAAUGCAUGUACAUGAUCAACACAUGUAAGAUGUAGUGUCAAUGCAGAUUACAAAUAACAAAAGGCAAACAUUUGUAUCAGUUGGUCCAGUACCCUCUCUUUGACCCUGGAUCAAAAAAAGAGAUCAAAAUUAGAUCAAAUAAAGAGUUAGAACUACACUAGAUAAGUCAGUAUAUCAUUGUGUUCUUCCGGCAUGAGGUGUAAAAGUAACUAGUAAAAGUUAGAGUUGGGCAAUAACGUGCUGGUCUGCUUUUCAUAUAUAAAGCACACAAGCUCAUGAGCUUCAGUGUGCUCCUGUGAGAUUGCUUUCACACACACAGUAAUGGGGCGGAAAGAGAAUCUCCUGAUUUGCUCUUUCUUUGCAUCAGUUUACCUGCUGACACAGACUGAAUGUGUCCCUGUGGAUGCAGCCUCAGCUAGGAGUGAUGAAAAAGAUGCUCAAGUUUUGGCUUUCUGGGAUUUCACAAGAGAAAGAAGAGCCAUAGAGGUGUGUU
Labeo rohita (rohu) is the source of this 1998-nucleotide long non-coding RNA. RefSeq lists it as uncharacterized. The transcript is spliced from 5 exons. The record is from RefSeq and is a predicted model, not a curated record. NCBI's taxonomy places the organism in Eukaryota, Metazoa, Chordata, Actinopteri, Cypriniformes, Cyprinidae.